RNAcentral lists this ribosomal RNA (208 nucleotides) under uncultured bacterium. RNAcentral describes it as "partial 16S ribosomal RNA". It matches the Rfam family "Bacterial small subunit ribosomal RNA", at positions 568 to 776 of the family's 1533-position model. The record is from RNAcentral.
CGCGCAGGCGGCGUCGUAAGUCGGUCUUAAAAGUGCGGGGCUUAACCCCGUGAGGGGACCGAAACUGCGAUGCUAGAGUAUCGGAGAGGAAAGCGGAAUUCCUAGUGUAGCGGUGAAAUGCGUAGAUAUUAGGAGGAACACCAGUGGCGAAAGCGGCUUUCUGGUCCGUAACUGACGCUGAAGCGCGAAAGUGUGGGGAGGCAAAACA